This is a non-coding RNA of Pimephales promelas (fathead minnow), 1623 nucleotides long. The record is from RefSeq and is a predicted model, not a curated record. Lineage: Eukaryota; Metazoa; Chordata; Actinopteri; Cypriniformes; Leuciscidae.
AGAGCCUAGCUGUGGGGAAAAACACCAGAUAGAUGCAGGCUACAGCAUGUACACAUGGCCACACGCACUCUUACAGAAACACACACACAAGCGAGCGUUCUGCGACAUGAAAGUGGUAGAAGCUAACCACAGUUAGACCUUUAAACACAGGUCGAUGUGAGGACUAGUUUUAGCUAAGCCAGCGUGCACAAGAAGAAUCAGUGCGGGAGAGAGAGCAGACAUGCGCACAUUCACACCUACAACCAUGCAGAUUUGGGGAUUUCAGCAAGUUGUGCAGAAGAAAGAAAGUUUUACAGGUUUUAAUGAAUCCUGGGAAUCCAAGGAACCAGGAAACCCAAUUUGAAUGAUCGAGUGUUUUCAUCAUGAAAACACAAGUUUCUGUACACAGAGAUCAGCCAAUCAAAACAAAAGAUGACGCAAAAGACAAAUGUGAGACUUAAAGAGUGAACAACACAGCUAAAUGAACAACAGCCCCACCUAAAGCAGCCGGCGGAGCCAGAUAGCAGAAGUCACGCAGAACAAUGACAUCAGCCCUGCAAUAAACAGCCAUGAUGGAGGCGCUGGCCUGCAUAUUGGAUCAAGUCGGGUGAAACCAGCAGGAGAAAGAUCUUGAAAAUCCAGUUCGGCGGGAUGAAAUUUGACCAACAAUCUCAACUCAUUCCACUUGGCAUGUUUUAACGGCAGAUGCGACAUUGAUUGGGCUAAUUAAUAUGUGUAACUUACUAAUGUUUACUGAGCUCUGAUUGUGUCCGAGAGAUGAAUAGUGCUUUUGUUUGUAAAUUCCCAGCUGUCUAAAUGUUAGUAUGGCGGAUAAAGGCCCGACAGAAGGUCAGAGAGCUUGCUAAAGCACUAAGGUAACACUGGUGCUCAUAACGUGCCAUCCAGUUUUUAUUAUUAUAUUUGAAAAGACGUUGUUUAUCAGACUCUGUGCUCCAGUGGUUAUUUAUUCAAAUACGGUGUCGCCUAUGCAGCCAAUUGAGCUCUCACGCCAGAUGGAAAGUGUGCCAGUUUGAAAGAGUUUCGAGUCAGCUGACAGAACAGUCUUGCCCGUAUUCGUAUUGAGCCAAUGAACUCAAGUCAUAACGUGCACUUGCAUAUGUUUUUAUGAUAAGAAAUAAAUAUUCAGUCAGUUAUAUCUUACAGACGGGACAAAACAUCUGAUAUGCUAUAUUAGAUCUGUGAAUGUGUGUGAAUGCGAUCUAUUUCACCUGCCGCUGUCUUACAGUUAUUCAUUCUUAAAAGGGGUUAUGUGUAAGAAUUUGCAUGUAUUAAUCGCUUUUUGCAUUGCCAAUGUGUGAACAGCUUGUGUUAACUUGAAAACCGAGACCUUCCUCGACUUCCUAGGUGAAGGACUUGGGGUGGUGUCACCAGUUAAAUCAAAAGGAAGCGGUGUUAACGUGUGCUGCUUCCUUUUGAAUUAACUGGUGACACCUCCAAGAACCUCUCUUACAUUCACAUGAAACAAAUGCGUACAAUGUUCAGGAUAAUGCCAAAAAAGAGCUACUGCAAUGUCCCCAAAGUCCAAACCAUAGUCUUACAUAGCCUAUACAUAGACUCGAAUAUACUUUAUAAUCAAACUAUCAUAACUCAUGCUAAUUGCCUCAUCUGUUGACUAGGGCUGGG